CAAUCGGCCCUUUUCAGGGCCACAAAAAUAUUCAAACGUAUUCGC
Molecule: non-coding RNA, 45 nt
Organism: Nasonia vitripennis (jewel wasp)
Lineage: Eukaryota; Metazoa; Arthropoda; Insecta; Hymenoptera; Pteromalidae
Source: Rfam